UACGUAGGGUGCGAGCGUUAAUCGGAAUUACUGGGCGUAAAGCGUGCGCAGGCGGCUUUGCAAGACAGAUGUGAAAUCCCCGGGCUCAACCUGGGAACUGCAUUUAUGACUGCAAGGCUAGAGUACGGCAGAGGGGGAUGGAAUUCCGCGUGUAGCAGUGAAAUGCGUAGAUAUGCGGAGGAACACCAAUGGCGAAGGCAAUCCCCUGGGCCUGUACUGACGCUCAUGCACGAAAGCGUGGGGAGCAAACAGG
Molecule: ribosomal RNA, 253 nt
Filed under: uncultured bacterium
Lineage: Bacteria
Description: partial 16S ribosomal RNA
Rfam family: Bacterial small subunit ribosomal RNA
Source: RNAcentral